AAGUCGUAACAAGGUCUCCGUAGGUGAACCUGCGGAGGGAUCAUUACAGAGAAACUCGCCCGCGAGGGUGACUCUCCAACCCUUAUGUCAACUAUACCUUUGUUGCUUUGGCGAGCCGCCUCGGCCACCGGCCCACGCUGGUGAGUGCUCGCCAGAGGACCCCAAACUCUGUUUAUACAUGUCGUCUGAGUACUAUAUAAUAGUUAAAA
RNAcentral lists this unclassified non-coding RNA (209 nucleotides) under plant metagenome. RNAcentral describes it as "partial contains small subunit ribosomal RNA and internal transcribed spacer 1". The stretch from base 1 to 46 matches the Rfam family "Eukaryotic small subunit ribosomal RNA", at positions 1786 to 1831 of the family's 1831-position model. The record is from RNAcentral.